UCUAAGGCUGUCACCUGUGCAUCUGA
This 26-nucleotide non-coding RNA is filed under the name Homo sapiens (human). The record is from RNAcentral. Lineage: Eukaryota; Metazoa; Chordata; Mammalia; Primates; Hominidae.